GUUGGGCGUGGUGGCUCACGCCUGUAAUUCCAGCACUUUGGGAGACUGAGGUGGGUGGAUCACCUGAGGUCAGGAGUUCGUGACCAGCCUGGUCAACAUGGUGAAAACCUAUCUCUA
Unclassified non-coding RNA from Macaca fascicularis (crab-eating macaque), 117 nucleotides. It matches the Rfam family "Metazoan signal recognition particle RNA". Rfam says of the family: The signal recognition particle (SRP) is a universally conserved ribonucleoprotein. NCBI's taxonomy places the organism in Eukaryota, Metazoa, Chordata, Mammalia, Primates, Cercopithecidae. The record is from Ensembl.